GACGAACGCUGGCGGCGUGCUUAACACAUGCAAGUCGAACGGAAAGGCCCUGCUUGCAGGGUGCUCGAGUGUCGAACGGGUGAGUAACACGUGGGUGAUCUGUCCCUUACUUUGGGAUAAGCCUUGGUAACUGGGUCUAAUACUGGAUAUGACCAUGCCGUAGGUGGUGUGGUGGAAAGAUUAGUUUCGGUAUGGGAUGAGCUCGCGGCCUAUCAGCUUGUUGGUGGGGUGAUGGCCUCUCAAGGCGUCGACGGGUAGCCGGCCUGAGAGGGUGGACGGCAGCAUUGGGGCUAAGAUACGGCCCAGACUCCUGCUGGAGGCGGCAGUGGGGAGGAUUGCACAAUAGUCGCAAGCCUGAUGAAGCAACGCCGCGGGGUGGGUGACGACCUUCGUGUUGUAGACAACCUCCAGCCAUGACGAAGCCCUUGUGGUGACGGUAGUGGGAAAAGAAGCACCGGCUAACUACGUG
Molecule: ribosomal RNA, 469 nt
Filed under: uncultured bacterium
Lineage: Bacteria
Description: partial 16S ribosomal RNA
Rfam family: Bacterial small subunit ribosomal RNA
Source: RNAcentral